This 466-nucleotide ribosomal RNA is filed under the name uncultured bacterium. RNAcentral's name for it is "partial 16S ribosomal RNA". It matches the Rfam family "Bacterial small subunit ribosomal RNA", at positions 28 to 507 of the family's 1533-position model. The record is from RNAcentral.
GAUGAACGCUGGCGGCGUGCUUAACACAUGCAAGUCGAACGAUGAAGCCCAGCUUGCUGGGUGGAUUAGUGGCGAACGGGUGAGUAACACGUGAGUAACCUGCCCUUAACUCUGGGAUAAGCCUGGGAAACUGGGUCUAAUACCGGAUAGGAGCGCCUACCGCAUGGUGGGUGUUGGAAAGAUUUAUCGGUUUUGGAUGGACUCGCGGCCUAUCAGCUUGUUGGUGAGGUAAUGGCUCACCAAGGCGACGACGGGUAGCCGGCCUGAGAGGGUGACCGGCCACACUGGGACUGAGACACGGCCCAGACUCCUACGGGAGGCAGCAGUGGGGAAUAUUGCACAAUGGGCGCAAGCCUGAUGCAGCGACGCCGCGUGAGGGAUGACGGCCUUCGGGUUGUAAACCUCUUUCAGUAGGGAAGAAGCGAAAGUGACGGUACCUGAAGAAGAAGCACCGGCUAACUACGUG